GCCCGCUUAGCUCAGUUGGUAGAGCGGCUCACUCGUAAUGAGCAGGUCGCCAGUUCGAAUCUGGCAGUGGGCUCCU
RNAcentral lists this transfer RNA (76 nucleotides) under Actinomycetes bacterium. RNAcentral's name for it is "Actinobacteria bacterium tRNA-Thr". It matches the Rfam family "tRNA". From Rfam's summary of the family: Transfer RNA (tRNA) molecules are approximately 80 nucleotides in length. Their secondary structure includes four short double-helical elements and three loops (D, anti-codon, and T loops). The record is from RNAcentral. Lineage: Bacteria; Bacillati; Actinomycetota; Actinomycetes.